Non-coding RNA from Pelobates cultripes (western spadefoot toad), 429 nucleotides. Lineage: Eukaryota; Metazoa; Chordata; Amphibia; Anura; Pelobatidae. The record is from the annotation of a GenBank genome assembly.
CAGAAAAGUUAUGGUCAAGGCCAACAAUUAGACCAUCUUCAAUAUUUUCAGAAAUUUUGUCCAAUGGCUAAACAGAGCUUGCAAAUCCAUAGGAGAGUCCUAGUUAGGGGAGUAAAAGUUGACUGGUGGUCAGAUUCUCAGAUUCUAGAGCUUUCAGAAAACAAGCCGAUACUCUAGUGAUAGCUGAAACAUGGACUCAAAGAGUGCUGAGGCUGAGUUCCUUUAUAACCUAUAUUGACGAAAGUCCAAUAAUAUUGAACUGCUGCAAGGUGUAAAUCACUGAGUAUAAUAUACCUAGUAAUGUAAGGGAGAAGCUCCCAAUCUCCAAACAUUUAGGUUAAGAGCCUGAGGAUUCUGGGCCUUGAGCCAUAACUGGGAUGUCCCAAGGAGGUUCCACUGCUAAUCUCAUCAAUAAUACGAACCAUGGUC